AAAAAAUGGCCCUGCCCAAGUAUCUGGACAUAUAUCUAGGCAGGGUCUGAUCCCUAGCGCAUUUGGGAUGAUGGGCUGAAAUUGCCACCCUACCAUGAUUUCCAAUGUUGCAUAAUUAAAUUUGCCAGAAUAGUGAACUUUUUUUUAAUCUUUUUUAUUCUUUUCCUUUUGAUUAG
This is a long non-coding RNA of Telopea speciosissima, 176 nucleotides long. RefSeq lists it as uncharacterized. Lineage: Eukaryota; Viridiplantae; Streptophyta; Magnoliopsida; Proteales; Proteaceae. The record is from RefSeq and is a predicted model, not a curated record. The transcript is spliced from 2 exons.